This 70-nucleotide transfer RNA is filed under the name Priapulus caudatus. Its description in RNAcentral is "tRNA-Gly". It matches the Rfam family "tRNA". Rfam says of the family: Transfer RNA (tRNA) molecules are approximately 80 nucleotides in length. Their secondary structure includes four short double-helical elements and three loops (D, anti-codon, and T loops). The record is from RNAcentral. Lineage: Eukaryota; Metazoa; Priapulida; Priapulimorpha; Priapulimorphida; Priapulidae.
UCCUCGAUAGUAUAGUGGUUAGUAUCCCCGCCUGCCACGCGGGACCGGGGUUCAAUUCCCCGUCGGGGAG